UGGGGAAUAUUGCACAAUGGGCGAAAGCCUGAUGCAGCAACGCCGCGUGAGUGAUGAAGGCCUUCGGGUUGUAAAGCUCUGUCUUUUGGGACGAUAAUGACGGUACCAAAGGAGGAAGCCACGGCUAACUACGUGCCAGCAGCCGCGGUAAUACGUAGGUGGCAAGCGUUGUCCGGAUUUACUGGGCGUAAAGGAUGCGUAGGCGGAUUUUUAAGUGAGAUGUGAAAUACCCGGGCUUAACUUGGGUGCUGCAUUUCAAACUGGGAAUCUAGAGUGCGGGAGAGGAGAAUGGAAUUCCUAGUGUAGCGGUGAAAUGCGUAGAGAUUAGGAAGAACACCAGUGGCGAAGGCGAUUCUCUGGACCGUAACUGACGCUGAGGCAUGAAAGCG
RNAcentral lists this ribosomal RNA (389 nucleotides) under uncultured bacterium. RNAcentral's name for it is "partial 16S ribosomal RNA". It matches the Rfam family "Bacterial small subunit ribosomal RNA", at positions 355 to 761 of the family's 1533-position model. The record is from RNAcentral.